GUAAUCGAUGUGGUAAAGCCUUUGUAUGUCAGAAUGAUCUUAAAAGGCAUGAAAGAAUUCAUACUGGAGAGAAACCCUACAAAUGUAAUGAAUGUGAUAAAGCCUUUGCACAUCACCGUAAUUUUCGAACGCAUAAAAUGAUGCAUGCUGGAGAAAAACCCUACAAAUGCAAUCAAUGUGGUAAAGCCUUUUCACAAAACAGUCAUCUCCAAACACAUAAAAGCACACAUACUAGAGAGGAACUCUAUAAAUGUAAGCAAUGUGGUAAAGCCUUUACAUGCCGUAAUGAACUUCAAAGUCAUAAAAGG
RNAcentral lists this long non-coding RNA (308 nucleotides) under Rattus norvegicus (Norway rat). RNAcentral's name for it is "long non-coding RNA NONRATT022001". Lineage: Eukaryota; Metazoa; Chordata; Mammalia; Rodentia; Muridae. The record is from RNAcentral.